CUUGCUCCACAGGUGCCAACUCCACUUCGGAAAAAACGGAUAAAACUCCCCCAUAUCCUGGUCCCCUGCCUUCAAGUUUCACAUCGAUUUCCAGUGCGGUGAAGAAGGGCACUGGGCACGGAAGCACCCCAACCAACUGCACAGACCAACCAGACCGUGCCCCAGCCGUGGUAAGCGAGGUCAUUGGAAAGUAGACUGUCCACUAGAGGGUGGUCCUCCUCCGGCGGCAAAGCCCCAUGGGGGGCUGACACCCUCGAAAGACUACCCUUCAGACCUGCUGGGCAUCCUCGAAGAUUGAAGAUGCCUGGACUCGGACACCCUGAUCACCCUUGCCAAGCCCAGGGCCAAGCUGUGGGUAGCAGGGUGGAUAGAGGCCUUCCCCAUCUACCAAGAGACUGCAUCAGUGGUGGCACAGGUGCUGGUGGAACACAUCGUUCCUCGUUUCGGGCUCCCCACUUCACUCCAAUCUGAUAACAGACCUGCCUUCAUCUCCCGGGUCACUCAGCUAACAGCCAAGGCUCUCAAUAUCACCUAGAACCUCCAUAUACCCUAUCACCCCCAAUCAUUGGGUAAAGUCAAAAAGGGCUAAUGGUCUCCUAAAGACCAACUAACUAAGCUGUCUGUAGAGGUAAAGCUCUCAUGGCCCAAUCUUCUCCCCAUUGCUCUCACUUGGCUGCAUGCUGUCCCCUGGGGACCAGCUGAAGUAAGUGCAUUUGAGCUGAUGUAUGGCAGGCCCUUCUUACUGAACACAGGCCUGCCCGCUACCUCUCCUCCUUUGGCCUCCAACCUUCCUUACUUUUCACUGUUGAGACAUCUUCUCAGGGAACACGCAGACCACUCCUACCUCAACCUACAUCAUCCAACAACCCAGGAGAUGCAGCAAUCCUUCAGCUAGGGGAUGAGGAACUUCUAAGAGAACUCCAGCCAAAAUCCCUCCAACCCCGCUGGACAGGGCCUUAUACAGUAAUCCUCACUACGCCUUCAGCAGUCAAACUACACAGGCAUUCUUCCUUGUAUCACCUUUCUAGGCUCAAACAGGCCCCCGAACACAAUGAUUGGGUGUAUUGUGGGUGGGUUCUCUUAAGCUGCAGGUUAGUCAUGUCAAGUGCAACCAGCCAGAUGAAUAGCCCAGUGGUCUCCAGGCAGAGUUACUCUGCAUGGAAGUUUAAGCUCCAACUAGCUCUUUCUCACAGAACCAAAGCCUGAGAAGUAGGCACCCAAAGUUGCCCACAUGCAGGUUGUCAGACACCCGUUCAAAUACCAAUACACACAGACAUCUUAAACACCUUCUCAAACACAACGCUGUGCUUUCCAUGUGACCAAACCUCUCAUACAUGUACUUUCCAGUCCAACAUGUAUGGGGGAUGUCAUCCUGAAUUAGACACAUGUAGGGUUCGUGCAGUAGGAGAUACAACAAGAGGAGUCUCUGACAACAUGUUCGCCAGAAUACAGGAUAGGAUAUACAUUACCAUUAGUGACCCAUGGGAUCAAUGCUGGGAGAAAGGAGUACAGGGCAAGCUAUACGAUAGUUACCAAGCCCAGCCAUGGGGCACAGUAUACAUCAAGAUGGAAUGGACCACUGUGAAUGCCACUCUCAUGCAGGUUCUAAACACCCAGGUACAGGUAUCAAAUAAUAUUCUACAGACAGAAGAGGCACUAAAACAGAAGAUUCAGUCGGACCCCUACCCCCGCUCCCUUCGACCAGCAAAAGCACCACUUUCCUGGGCUGGAGUCAUUGGAGAAACAGUGCAGUUUCUUAAUGCUUCACAUAUCCUCAGCAAUGUUGUGGGGGCCCAGCCUACGGCCGAGGCUGAGCCCCACUCUAGCUGGACAAUGCCCUAAAGAUGGCGCCUGCUUCCUGCUCACCACCCUUUCCCCUCUUCCCUGUUGGGGAUUGGCCCAGCAGACUUCCGUACCCGUGCACAGCUCGUGCUGCCCGCUUAGAGUGGCGUGUGACACCUAUCCGCUUAAAGGUCAUGCAUGAUACUGUCCUGGAUUGGUUAGGUGACUGAAUAUAAGGGAGCCCGCCGGGAGGGAAAGAAAAAAAAGGAGGAGCUGCCCGACAACUGCUGUAACCACCAUGAGAGAUUAGACAAUAAAGCCUAGAGAAGAAUCAAGACCUUGGGCGUGUUGCUUCGGUCCCUGAAGGGUCGCGACAAGUGGUGCCGAAACCUGGGAAUCGCUAAACCUCGUCGCGACCUGAUCCGCUGACCCUGGUGCCUGCUGAUGAACGUUGCUGGACGCCGUUCGGUCGGCUGGCCAGACCGGGAGAGGGAACCGAGGAGGGUGAGUGGAUCGGCGAGUAAACUGAAAGUAUACGUGGCAGGGCAGACAGCAGGCAGUUGCGGUGGGUGUUUAUGUGUAGUGUGUGUGUCCUGUUAG
Molecule: non-coding RNA, 2382 nt
Organism: Manis javanica (Malayan pangolin)
Lineage: Eukaryota; Metazoa; Chordata; Mammalia; Pholidota; Manidae
Source: RefSeq, a predicted model, not a curated record